Molecule: small nuclear RNA, 105 nt
Filed under: Catagonus wagneri (Chacoan peccary)
Lineage: Eukaryota; Metazoa; Chordata; Mammalia; Artiodactyla; Tayassuidae
Source: RNAcentral
GUGCUUGCUUUGGCUACACAUAUGGUAAAAUUGCAGUGAUACAGAGAAGAUUAGCGUGGCCCCUGCACAUAGAGGAGGACACAGAAAUUUGUGAAAUAGUCUUUU